AUUUAUUCUGUGAUGACUAAAAGGCACUGAAAGAAUAAAACAGCAGUGCAUGAUAUUAAGAUUUUUGUCAGGAAUAAAGUGAUAGCGGCAAUAUAGAGGGUGGAUAGAUAGAAGGACAAAAAAGACCAGAUUCAAUGACAGCCCUCAGUUACCUUUACAGUUUUCUAGACAAGAGAUGAUAAAAGCUCAAGUGAAAGUAUCAUGAGUAGAAAGAACAGUAAGAACUAUUCAGUCAUACAAUUUGAGAGGAAUUAAAAACCAAUUAGAUGUGGCAUAUGAAGAAAAAAUUGUUAAGGCUAAAUUAUCUGGUUUAGGUUACUGCAUUGAUAGUAGUACUCAUUUUAAAAGGACAUGAAAUUUCAAACAUAAACAGGUUCCAGGGAAAAUAAGAAAUUCAAUUUUUAAAAUAUUGGGUUUGGUGAAAAGUUAGAUUUAUAAUUUAAAACUCAAGACAUUAGAGUUAGAUCUAGGAGAUAUCAGCAUUUAUGUGGCAACCAAAUCGCUGGAAUAGGGAUGACUUUCCAAGGGAUCAUAUAAAAAAGAGCAACAGAGAACCAAGGGAACACAUUAGGAAGCAUUGUUACUUUAAGGAGCAGGUAAAAAGGAAAGAAUACUGGUCAUUAAGACAGAGGCAGAAACAGAGAGGCGUGUCAUGAAAGCAAAGGAGUUAUAAAAUCCACAUAAAGGUCAAGAGAAAGCAAAACUUCACAAAGACUACAUACGGUAAGAACUGAAACACAUUCAUUGAUUUUAGCAAUUAAUUAAGAGAUCACAGAUCAUCCAUUUAGCAGCAUUGGUGAGGAUAGAAAUCAGAUAAAAUGAUGGGAGAAGUAGAUGAGAUUUAAAUGUGUGGACAUAGCAAGGAGACUCCUAGGAGACUCUUGUCUAUGAAGGAAGAAAGGGAGGCUGAUACCAAGAGGAGAAAUAUAAUUUAGAGAGUAAGAGUGGCUGUAUCAUGUCCAGGGUUUGAGAAAGAAGACAAAGAGGGAAUGGAUUCAUAUGCAGGAGAGAUGAGAUACCUGAUGAGAAACCAUCCGGGAGAAGCUGGAGUCGAGUAGAAUCCAGUAUAGGUGGAAGGUUAAACCCUGAAGGGGUGAGGGAGAAGACCAAAAUGAAAUUUUGGUGCUCUCUUGAUACUUAGGGCAAGAAAGUGAGGGAAGUCGUUCCUCAAGGCCUCUUUCUUCUCUGCGAAGGUGGUUUUUGGGUGGUUUCUGAUGUUCAUCUGGAGGGCCGUGAGGGAAGGGAAAGGCUUGAUCACAAUGGAUAAGGUUUAGAACAGCUAUAGGGAGAAAAGGCAGGACAUUUAAUCAAGAAAGAAUUGGAGGCUUGGCUGAGAUUUAAUAUAUGUUUAGUGACAUUUGUUCAUUCAUUUACAUAAUCAUUUAUUCAUCAAAUAAAUAUUUAUUGAGCAUCUACUAUGCCUAGGGAUUAUCUGAUUGUUGAGGAGUUACCAAUAAAUGAAAAAAGAAAUUUCCACUCACAUGGAAUUGGGGGAGUGGAUAAAAAACACAAUAAGUAAAUCAUAGCCUAUUCAACCCCGUCACUAUUUUCUGCCUUUUUUCCAAAGGAAGACUACAGUUCCUAUCUUCACAGGUGGCUGUUAGCUCUAAAUGAACUCAUUUAUUUUGAAAGCAUGAUUUAAAGUAUAGUUUUAAACUAUAAGCAUUUCAGAAGUGAUGACCCAUGACUCAAAUCUCAAAAAUAAAUGCUACAGUUCACAGUUGGAAUAUGGACACAAGAAAAAUAAUAGAUGAUGCCACUGAAAGGUAAACAUACCAUUCUGACAUGCAUGAAAAUGAAACGACAAAUUGAUACACGCAGUGCUUGGAAUGGAUGGAGUCCUUCUAAUGAGUGAUUACCUGUGGUAUAACUAUAUUGAUUGUGUUUGUACAUGUCAAAUGGGGCUGGCGAGGAUGAACUUGAAGAAAUCAAUCUUGGAACCUGCUAGGACAGCAGCCUCCUGGUUUCACAGUACUAAAUCAUGACUUCAAAAUUUUGAAGUAAAAGAAAACUGCAAAACUUUGUAAAGGUACCAGUCUCUUCCUGACACUAUUUGCCUUGGCAAAAGAUUCACUGUCAACUUAAAAGACUAACAUGUGCUCAGAUGAUGAUUUGUGGAGGACAGAUAAUUAUGAGUACAUUUAGAAAUACACACUCUUCCAAACCCUGCUCUUUCCAUAUAAUGAAGUUAUUUAUUUCUAUUUUUUAUUUAUUUUUCUAAUAAUUACAAACAUACUUUGGAGACCCACAUUCCUGUAUUAUUCUUUCAACAUACUGAAGAAGAGUUAUUUCUAUGCUUCUUUCUAUGUGUUGGGCUUAAGAUUUAUUAGAAGGAAUGUGUAAAAACAAAGGCAGCAAAGUUUCUAUUUUUAUUGGGAGUCACUCCCGGAGUAAGUGGGGAUAGUUGUGCACACACACACACACACAUUCAUGCACAAAGAAAGAGUGAUCAAGUGUAUAACACACUUUUAGCAGUGUUUUGCUGGAAGAAUAAAGUAUAACUCCUUGUCCGCCCUUUUAUUAUACUGGGGUUCACACUAAGAGAGUCUGAGGACCUGUGGAACUCCCAUUUGCAUGAAAUAACUUUUGCAUCUAUUCUGGAGGAAAACUUCCUAAGGCAGAUUUGGACAGAAAAUUGCUAUCAGCGCAAAUAAAACAAUGCAAAGCCUACUCCGGGGAACGUUGCUCUGCCACCACUACUGAAAUGGGUCAUCCCCUUGGUUUCUGAAUAAAGAAUUAUGAAACCUGGGGCUAGAAUGCUCAGGGAGGAAUUUACCAAUCCAAAUCUUCCCCUUAUGGUAGAGAACAAACUUUCAAGGUUUGUUCUCCACUGUAAGUGUGCGAGGGCUGUUAGGGACCGUAAUAUGGCUGCCGGAGACUGGUGUGUGUACCUCCUUGACUGUACGUCUCAUUUCCAGUUAUGAUUUUACAAUCAUCUCUUUCUCAACCUUUGCUUUUAAAUAUAGGAAGGUACGGCUCACCAUGGAGCGGACAUUUUCUUCAGGAGCGGUACGGUGUCUAAGAUAUGCAGAGGUUGUAUUCUAGUCCUAUAACUCAAUUCUCAAACACAUGGCUUUUAGCCAGGGAUAUCCUAAAGGAAAAUUACACUAUAUGCAACCCCUCCUUACUCCUCAAAUAUUAUCUAUAUUAAACACAGCUGAAAUUUGAGAGUGUCCUUACAGGUGAAAAUUUAACAAUUUAACAAAAGGACACUGCUGAAUGUGUGGGGACAAAGGAAGGAUGAAUCUUUCAUCAUGACAAAAGACUACUUGCCACAUUCUCCCUUAACUUAGAAAAACAGAAAAGAGGCUGGGCGUGGUGGCUCCUGCCUGUAACCUCAGCACUUUGGGAGGCUGAGAUGGGUGGAUCAUUUGAGGUCAGGAGUUCGAGACCAGCCUGGCCAACAUGGUGAAACCCCGCCUCUACUAAAAAAUUCAAAAACUAGCCAGGCAUGGUGGCGGGUGCCUGUAGUUCCAGCUACUCAGGAGGCUGAGGCAGGAGAAUCUCCUGAACCCAGGAGGCGGAGGUUGCAGUGAGUCGAGAUCACACCACUGCACUCCAGCAACAGAGCAAGGCUCUGUCUGUCUCAAAAAAAAAAAAAAAAAAAAAAGAAAAAGAAAGAAAAAGAAAUAGAUGAUGUACCUUAUUUGGUUUUUCCGAUUAACAGUCAUGUUAGUUAAUCCCACAUUCACUACUAAAUAGUCUAGCAAUGUGAAAAAAAAUCAUCUGAAAUCUUAGGUGUUCAAAAAUCUUCUCUUUCUUCUUCACUUCAUUGAAUUUAUAAAUGCUCUAAAAUAAGAUAAUCGCUUCCCCAGUGAAGUACUAUUCAUAUGUGUUACAUAUCUGGCAUACUUUUAUCCUUUUAAAAUUCAGCUAAACAACUGAACCAAAGUUUUUCCAUUUCCCAUUUUUGGAUCAAUCAGGGUGUAAAAUUCAUUUUUAGUUUUUAAAAAGCUAUUUAUGCAAUGAAAUUAUAGCGACUGUGAAUUUUCAAUUUGAUCAACAUGUAUGCAUAUAUAAAAUGGGGUGUGUUUAUUUUGUAAAUAUAUUAGAAUGGUGUUUGUAAGGGGAUAGUAUGUUUGCCUGAAUCUAUACCCAUUUUGUAAGUUAAAUAGUACUGAAGCCUGAUGGUCCUAAAGGCUGCUGGAAAAUACUGAUCAGUCUUGGAGGCACUGCUGAGUUAUCCAUAAAGUAAAAUCUGGGACUGGGUAGAAAUACAGUAAAAUAAAAACUAAGAAUCUACACUGAUGUCUAAGGUUUCAAGGAAUCCUAAGAAGUAGUCACUGUGCUAUGAAAUACAGAUUUUACUCUCCUUGUCACGUGGAUAGGAAUAACAACAGCAGCAAUACAUUCUCAUUAAAUAAUGAUAUAAUAUAAAGGUAGUAUGUUCAUUGUAGAAAAUUUGAAGAAUGCAUAGAAGCACUAAGAAAAAAAAUUAAAAUCAUGUCUAAUCCAUUGUGUACCAGAGAGCUAAGGUGCUUGUGUGUGUGUGUGUGUGUGUGUGUGUGUGUGUGUGCGCGCGUGCACGCGCAUAAACAUUAUGCCUUCUAUAUCUGCUUCCAGCGUUUUCCUAUGCAUAAUUUCCACAGAACCCUAAAAACUACAGUGGUCUGUAUUCUGCUAUUUCAUUAAAAUUAUUAGGGAAGCAUUUCCCAGGCUGCUGCAAAUUAGAUAAUGGGAUGUUGUAUCUCAAAGAGAGGUAGAGAUAGAGAGAGGCGAUUCAUGGUAUGGCUUUAUUAAGUAGUGAAUUUUUCUCUGUGUGUGUGUGUGUGUGUGCAUGCGAGAGAGAGAGACAAAGAGAGGGAGAGAGAGGGAGAGGCAGACAGAAUGUCACAUUCAAGGCACUUAUUUGUGUGUAUCCUGUAUUUCCUUUUUGGUAGAAUGUGAGAAUUAACUCAAAAAUAAAUUUAGGCCCAUAGUGGUCAGACAUCUGCAGUAUAGAAGGUAAAACUUUUAUAAACAACCCAUAAUAACUAAUUCACUGUUACAGAAUACAGCAUCUAAAUUCACAAUAAUAUGCCAAAGAAUUUCUGCUAUUACAGCUGUACAUCUAUUUCUACAGUUCUAAACUUUUGCACAGGAGUCCCUGUCUGUGUCCUCAGUUGACCAUUACCGCUUGCUUGUUCUUAAUUGCCCCAUAUCAAAUUUUAAACCGAAGAAAAUAACAUAUGGGUCUUCUUCACAAAGCUCCAAUUGUUUGUCCUAAAAAUCCAAAAUGAACUAUCACCAUUAAUUUCCUAGCCACAUCUUUCUCAAUAAUGACAUUUUGAUGACCAACUAUAAAAAUAACUUUACUGUUAAAAGUUGAAUUCUACAAGUCAAUAAAAUUAUAGUUGAAUCUAAAAGACCCACUGCUUCCUUCCUCUUAUUUAGGUCUUCUCUAGUUUACUUCCUCCCUUUGUUCUCCCAUUUAUAUUUCUUCUACCCUUUUUCAUUCCUGCCUGCCUUUCUUGUUUCAUUAAUUAAUUCUUCCUUUAUUCUUUUUCCAUUUUUUGCACCUUUAUUCAGUAAACUUACUUGAAUGUGCUGAAUUUAUUGAAAUGUAUGGAAUACUCACCAUAUAUGCACAGCUGUGUUUUUCUGCUGUGUGCAACCUGAAAGCAUUGCUUAUUUCAUCACAGUUGCAGAGAUGAGCGUGAUAUCAGGGAUGAAUAUACCAGUGCACCAAAGUGUCUAUUAUAAACUCAACUGCUCUUAUGUAGACAGAACGACAAAUGAACUGAAAAUUCCACCAACCUUGGAGAGCCCUCUAGGUGCUAAUGUUUGACAGUCAGGAUUCUAAGCAGGCUGCCUGGCAAAGCAAUAAAAGCCUUAAAUGGUUUGGGGACCACAAGUCCCUGCUUUGUAAAGUAUUCAUGAAGUGGAAUGACGAUGACCUGCUACCUUGAUAUGAUUUUCAGUCGCCUCAAGCUCUCUGUGCUGCGUUCAGUUUGACCUGCUUUGCUACCUUUGACAUUGAUCUAUUCUUGAGAUUGUAGCUAUAGGCUUUAUGUUUGAACCUGAGAUUAAAGUUGGAUAUAAAAGUCACCGUAAUGUCUCUGCCUAUAACUUGAUGGGCUUCUAUUGCAGUCCUUUGUACUAAUCAGAGUGGCCACUGAAAAGUCCAUUUGGAAAACAAGAUCUUCCGGGACUUGAGUUGCAAUAAAACCAUUGCAGAAGGUUGAGGGGAAAGAGGGAAGAAAAAGAACGGUCGUGACACUAAAGACCAGUCCUGAAUUAUAGAAGGAAAUCAGAGGGAGUUGCUAUAAAUAGCCACAAGCAGUUUGUAUUUGAUAUUGGUUCGUCCAAUACAUUCAGCUAGAAAUGACAAAAUCAUUAUUUUCCCUUCUCCUCGUGGGUCUCACUUACUAAGAUGCCUCAACGUGUUUCAUUUCCAUUACUCUUUUCCCGUCUGCUUGCUUUGCCACCAGCAAGCUUUUUUAUUCUAUGUCUCAUCCCCAAUAUAGUCGGGAAUACUUACUUACAUUUGUCUGUGCCUAAUAGUAAUUUUCUACAUUCUUCUGUGUCCUUCGCGACUUUUCACCAUAAUGAGUACUUUGCAAAAGGUAAUGAAUUUCUGACUUUUCUCUUGCUGUCUCUCUCUUUCAUUCUGUCCUCCUCUCCCCCUUUUUUUCUGGGACUAUUCUUGAGUUAUUCAGAAUAAAGGAAAAACUACAUAAUGAAGAAUGUAAUGCCAGUAGGAACAUACAAUUGUGCCUUCCAGGUACUAAAAGAGGAGAGAGGAAGACGGCACAGCACAGCUGAUAACGUGGGUGCCCUGCCUCUCCUGUAAAGGGGAUCUUUUCUCUAGCUAAUUUCUACUUAGAAACAAAAGAUUUUUCAGAGAAUGGGGAGAGAGGACUGAAUGAUGCUCCAAUUUGCAUUUCUGUUCACAUAAUACCCAUGUUCAGUUGACUAGAGAAAGGUUCUUUUUUCCCCUUGUUUCAGAUGGAAGCACCUGUUUAAAAAUACUUGAAUCAAAUUUUAUUCACAAUUACUAUUUUUCUCAAACCUGUCUCUGAUUGCCAAGGAAAUACAUUCUGAAAUCUAUUGGGUGUUUUUUUUUUUUUUUUUUAAGUCUGCACUAAAUAACUUACAGUAGCAUGGCAUAGUAAGAAAGAACGUUGUUUCAGGAACUGAAGAUAUAGGUUAUAAUCUAAGCUAUGUCAUUAACGAAGUGUUAUUAAGUAAAUAAUUUAAGCAUCUUGGUCAUCAUUUAUUUUCUUAUAAAAUUAGGAGUUUGUAUCAGAUCAUCUGUAAUUUACUUCCCAGUUUUAAAAACAAAUCUGGUCUUCUGUCACUCUUGCAAUUCAAAAACCGUGUCUCUGAAGCAGAUCAUGUGCGUAGCCCAGCCUGUGGUAGGAAAGUCAGCCCUCCCUCAGGAUGAAAGGUGCUUGCAGAACCUCCACCCACACACCUUCCACACAGGGGUUUCUGAUGCUUUUGCAGAACUGAAAGAAUUGGAAUAGAGAUACACUGAUUUCCACAGAAAUUCUAAGGGAAUCACUGUAAAUUGUCUAAAACCACUUUAAGUACUGUGAUCUAACAACCACAUUUUCAAAGUCACGUUUUUUUGGACUGCUUUGGCUGCUAUCUGCUAUGGCUGACAGAAUUCUGAAACACACACUAGUGCUUUUAAAGUGUGCACGGGAAUCACCAGCUCAUUACUGCUUAAUUCUGUUGCAUCAUUUCUUAAGGAGUUGUUACUGAGAUAGGAAACUGG
RNAcentral lists this long non-coding RNA (7702 nucleotides) under Homo sapiens (human). RNAcentral's name for it is "HSALNT0102599". Lineage: Eukaryota; Metazoa; Chordata; Mammalia; Primates; Hominidae. The record is from RNAcentral.